CUGUUUGUACCAACUGCUAUUGUUUAGGUGUUAAUACAUGUUUCUUGUACUAGCCAUAAGUUUAAAUAUAUAUUGUGGCUUGUCUGGAGAUGGCUCUGUUUAAUUAGUUUCUUAGUUUUUUUUAUAUACUAUUGUGUCGUUGUCUACAGAGCUUGGCAACCAUUUAAUGAUUAGUGAUCAAUCGUGAUGUAUACCAUGCAUUUCUGUACAUAAUAUUACUUUAAUUAAAUUGUUGUUUGUGUUAUUAGAUAAAAUAGUUUACUAAUUAUAUUUUAGCUGUGGCAAAAUUCUUAUGAAAAAGAUUCUUCAGAUAUAAAUGAAAUAAGUGAAGUAGUUCCCUUAGCUUUGGAAAAUUUUCAAUGGAACAAUGUAACAAAUAGUUCUAUAAGCUGUUCUGAAACAUUUGCUCAUAUAAAUUUAGUUUCUUCUGGUGAUGAAACAGUUUUUUCGAAAGGAGGGACAUUUGAAAUUGAGUUUUCAAUUUCUGGUAAAGAAGAAGCUGCAUCUAAUUAUCCUCACCUGAUUUAUUCUGGAAACUCAACUCAACUUAAAGUUGUCUUCAACAAAUUUUACUCAAAUUCCUCUAGAAUACGAUAUGCUA
Molecule: non-coding RNA, 601 nt
Organism: Parasteatoda tepidariorum (common house spider)
Lineage: Eukaryota; Metazoa; Arthropoda; Arachnida; Araneae; Theridiidae
Source: RefSeq, a predicted model, not a curated record